CAGUCGCCGCGGUAAUACGUAGGGGGCGAGCGUUGUCCGAAGUUACUGGGCGUAAAGCGCGCGUAGGCGGCUUCUUAAGUCUGAGGUGAAAGGUUCAACGCUUAACGUGAACAGUGCCUUGGAUACUGGGGAGCUUGAGUAUGGGAGAGGGCAGUGGAAUGGCUGGUGUAGCGGUGAAAUGCGUAGAUAUCAGUCGGAACACCCAUGGCGAAGGCAGCUGCCUGGCCUAAUACUGACGCUGAGGUGCGAAAGCGUGGGGAGCGAACGGGAUUAGAUACCCCAGUAGUCCCUGUCUCUUAUU
RNAcentral lists this ribosomal RNA (301 nucleotides) under uncultured bacterium. RNAcentral describes it as "partial 16S ribosomal RNA". It matches the Rfam family "Bacterial small subunit ribosomal RNA", at positions 509 to 808 of the family's 1533-position model. The record is from RNAcentral.